RNAcentral lists this ribosomal RNA (308 nucleotides) under uncultured eukaryote. Its description in RNAcentral is "SSU rRNA". It matches the Rfam family "Eukaryotic small subunit ribosomal RNA", at positions 111 to 414 of the family's 1831-position model. The record is from RNAcentral.
AAUUAUUUAUUUGAUGGUUUCUUACUACAUGGAUGACCGUAGUAAUUCUAGAGCUAAUACAUGCGUAAAGUCCCGACUCUCGCGGGGAGGGAUGUAUUUAUUAGAUUAAAAACCAAUGCGGCCUUUGGUCGGACUUGUGUUGAUUCAUAGUAACUUUUCGGAUCGCAGGGCUUCACGCCGGCGACAGUUCAUUCAAAUUUCUGCCCUAUCAGCUUUCGACGGUAGUGUAGUGGACUACCGUGGCAUUUACGGGUGACGGAGAAUUAGGGUUCGAUUCAGGGGAGGGAGCCUGAGAAACGGCUACCACA